UGGGGAAUUUUGGACAAUGGGCGAAAGCCUGAUCCAGCCAUGCCGCGUGAGUGAAGAAGGCCUUCGGGUUGUAAAGCUCUUUCAGACGGAAAGAAAUCUCUUGGGCGAAUACCCUGGGAGGAUGACGGUACCGUAAGAAGAAGCACCGGCUAACUACGUGCCAGCAGCCGCGGUAAUACGUAGGGUGCAAGCGUUAAUCGGAAUUACUGAGCGUAAAGCGUGCGCAGGCGGUCUUGUAAGACAGUCGUGAAAUCCCCGGGCUUAACCUGGGAACUGCGCUUGUGACUGGACGGCUAGAGUAUGGCAGAGGGGGGUGGAAUUCCACGUGUAGCAGUGAAAUGCGUAGAGAUGCGGAGGAACACCGAUGGCGAAGGCAAUCCCCUGGGCCUGGACUGACGCUCAUGCACGAAAGCGUGGGGAGCAAACA
RNAcentral lists this ribosomal RNA (427 nucleotides) under uncultured bacterium. RNAcentral's name for it is "bacterial SSU rRNA". It matches the Rfam family "Bacterial small subunit ribosomal RNA", at positions 355 to 774 of the family's 1533-position model. The record is from RNAcentral.